This 73-nucleotide transfer RNA is filed under the name Thermacetogenium phaeum DSM 12270. It matches the Rfam family "tRNA". Rfam says of the family: Transfer RNA (tRNA) molecules are approximately 80 nucleotides in length. Their secondary structure includes four short double-helical elements and three loops (D, anti-codon, and T loops). Further hydrogen bonds mediate the characteristic L-shaped molecular structure. tRNAs have two regions of fundamental functional importance: the anti-codon, which is responsible for specific mRNA codon recognition, and the 3' end, to which the tRNAs corresponding amino acid is attached (by aminoacyl-tRNA synthetases). tRNAs cope with the degeneracy of the genetic code in two manners: having more than one tRNA (with a specific anti-codon) for a particular amino acid; and 'wobble' base-pairing, i.e. permitting non-standard base-pairing at the 3rd anti-codon position. The record is from Rfam by way of RNAcentral. Lineage: Bacteria; Bacillati; Bacillota; Clostridia; Thermoanaerobacterales; Thermoanaerobacteraceae.
GGGCGCGUAGCUCAGCGGUAAGAGCGCAUGACUCACAUUCAUGAGGUCGUAGGUUCGAUUCCUACCGCGCCCA